AGGUUGCAGAAACGUGUAGGCCGGAUUAGGCGCUAGCCGCCAUCCGGCAAUCCCUCAGAUUUAUUCCUCGAAGUUAU
Molecule: transfer RNA, 77 nt
Filed under: Salmonella sp. FORC89
Lineage: Bacteria; Pseudomonadati; Pseudomonadota; Gammaproteobacteria; Enterobacterales; Enterobacteriaceae
Description: tRNA-Ile
Source: RNAcentral